Molecule: long non-coding RNA, 913 nt
Organism: Monodelphis domestica (gray short-tailed opossum)
Lineage: Eukaryota; Metazoa; Chordata; Mammalia; Didelphimorphia; Didelphidae
Source: RefSeq, a predicted model, not a curated record
GCUUGCUUGUGACGGGGACAGGAGGAGAGACACGAGAACUUAGAAUAACAGAAAACGACUAGGGAGCAGCGAGGUGGCUCCCUGGGGGAGAGGCAGGCAUGGAGUGACUUCGGGCCCAUCCGGCCUCCUGGCUGGCUGUCAAGUGAAGGAAGUGGCCAGAGGGCCCCGAGGCCCGUCUGGCGCUGGGGCUGUCCUUUCUCAGGCGUUAGGAAAUGCCGGCUUUUUAGGGACACUCCAGGAGGACGUCCUGUGGUUCUUUGCACGGAACUUGCCAUGGAAGGAUAAAGCCAUUCCAUGGGCGCUUCCCUCCUGGUACUCUACACCGUUGGCAGGUCUCCCCUCCUCCCCCUCAGGCCUCCUGCUCUUGCUCCCCGCUGGCCCUGGGUCACAGGUUUAAAGCUGGAAGAAGCUCAUCUUGAAGAUAAGGAAACAGAGUGGUGUGGUAGUGGGUGCUCCGGCCAUCUUGGGAGAAUGGACGCCUCCCUCUCUGGGGAGCCCCGAGAAAGGACGUGGUCCAAUGGAAGCCAGUUGCGUUGUAGAAGCCGCCUGGUGAAGGUCCAGACACGUUGUCUGGCCUUUGUGCCCUCCCUUUCAGUCCUCCAUCCGAGGCGAGCUGUGUGUGCCGGUGCCAGGACAGCGGGAGGCUCCGAGGGCCUCGGGCUUCAGCCCGGAUGCUGGAGAAGGAGACAGACCCCGGGAGGGAGAGCCAGGUGGCCCCGCCGAAGCCAGAGCCUGGCAUGCGGCCCCCAAAAGCUGGGUGUGGACUUCAAUGGAUUUAAUUAGCUCCAGGAGAUGGAGCUCAUAGCAAAGGGGGAGGCCCGAGAAGUGCCCACUGAGAGCAUUUCAGUGAGUGCCGAGCCUGGGAUUAGCGCGUUAUUUGUGUGCAAACUCGGUACCUGCCUCUGCAGCUUUC